Molecule: long non-coding RNA, 2318 nt
Filed under: Sus scrofa (pig)
Lineage: Eukaryota; Metazoa; Chordata; Mammalia; Artiodactyla; Suidae
Description: lncRNA (ENSSSCG00000055035.1)
Source: RNAcentral
CAAUUAUUUCUUUCUGAAAAGAUUCUCUUUGAUCCAUUGUAUUGCUUUUGCUCCUUUGUCAUGAUUAGUUGACUAUAUUUGUGUGGGUCUAUUUCUGUCUAUUCUAUUCCAUUGAGCUAUUUAUCUAUUUUCAUACUAAAUCACAUUAUUGUGAUUAAUGUAGCAUUGUGAUAAGUCUUGAAAUCAGAUAGUGUUAGUCCUCUGCCUUUGUUCUUUGCUUUCAAUAUAAAGUCAGCUAUUCUGAGUCUUUUGCCUUUACAUAUGAACUUUAGAAUCAGUUUGUUCAUAUCUAAAAAAUAGUUUUCUGGGAUUUUGACUGAGAUUAUAUUGAGUCAGUAGAUCCAGUUGAGAAGAAUGGUCAUCUUGAUGAUAUUGAAUCUUCCUAUCUAUGAACACGGUAUAUAUCUCUUCAUUUAUUUAGUUCUUUGAUUACUUUCAUCAGAAGUUUCUAGUUUUCCUCUUAUGAAUCUUGUGUAUAUUUCAUUAGAGUUAUACUUAAGAAUUUAUUUAAUAUUUUAAUGCUAAUGUAAAUAGUAUUGUGUUUUAAUUUCAAAUUUCAGUGGUUAAUUGGUGGUAUAUGAGAAAGCAAUUCAAUUUUGUUUAGUUUUACUGCCUGACUCUUGCACCCCCCAAAAAAACCCUAAAAUUUAAACUAAUAUUAACAUAUUAAAUUAAUCUUUGCUUCCAUAUGGUUCCCAAUUGUUCUUUUUCAUAUGUGAUUAGAAAACAAACAGCCCCCCAUAAUAAAUUUAUAAUGCUGCUUUUGAUCACAAGCUCAUAUUUUUAUUCUCAUAUUUAACUUUAUUCUGUCAUGUAUGUCAAAUACAGCAUGAAGUGUUUGCAACCACACUGUAAGUUUCAUUUGUGUAUUCCAUUGGAAAUAAAACACUAGUUCUGACUUUUUUUUAGCAAUUGUAGGGCUAUAAUUUAUUUUGUAAUAUUAAUAAGUUUUUUAAGUGCCCAUUUAAAAAAAAAAAAAACCUGGAAAACAAUGAAGCGUUUCCCCAGAAUCCUACAGCACUUAUCAUAUUUUGGAACAUAGGCUUUUGUGGUUUUUUGAUAUGUGGGAAAUGCAUCAGGGUUAGUGAGGGCCAUUCUAGAUAACAUUUCUUCCUAGUAAUGAUCAAGGGUUGGGAACAUAUAAGAGAAUGUUGAUAUAGACAUAAUUACGGUAAUGAUAGUAUUGAUAGAAAGUUUCUGUUACUUUAUUUCUUUUCUCUCUGUUUAAAACCACUGCUUUUAUUGUUUUGUUGUUGUUGUUGUGCUUUUAAUGUUUUAUUGAAGUAUAGUUGAUUUACAAUGUUGUGAUAAUUUCUGCUGUAAAACAAAGUGAUUUAGUUUCAUACACACACACACACACACACACACACACACACACACACACACACACACAUCCAUUCUUUUUUCAGAUUCCUUUCCCAUAUAGAUUAUCACAGAAUAUUGUAGUAGGGUUCUUUGUGCUAUAUAGCCAUUUCCCAUUGUUUUUAUUGUUUCUUUUUCUUGACUUUUCACUUAUGGUUGUACUAUCCAUAUUACCAAAUCUAAUGUAUAUUUUUUUUAAAUUUUUGAAAAAUUAAAAUGUAGCUCAUAUACUAUAAAAUUUCACCCAUUUAAAGGAUAAAAUUUUUUGGCUUUAUUAUGUUCAGAAGAUUGUGCAGACUUUACAGUGAUAUAAUUCUAGAAUCCUUUCAUCACCCCAGAGAUUCUACAGUGUAGUCCUAGCAGUCAUUCCUGGAGAUCCAGCCUAUGAUAUUCCAGUGAUUUUAUAACUAUCUGUUCCUCUGGCUGUCUAAUAGUCAGUCAAUGAAGAACGUGUUGAUGCUGGAUAUUCUUCUUUUGGUUUUCUUUUUUGAGCCAAAUGUCCCUAUUUGCUUCAGCUGACCACACUACUACAAGACCUCUCACCAUUCUACAUAUUUGUCUUUAUAGGCUUUUUGAUGUGGCAGUGUCCUUGUCAAAAUGGAAUGUCUGAAGUAAGACAUGUGGUUUGAGAGGUAUAUAUGGGAUAAUUGCCACUUUCUUUAAUUUAUUAUUAUAAAUCAUAAAUAUCAUAGCUGAUAUUCUUGAUCCUAAGGCCUUGACUGAUACAUCAAAAUCCUGUAAUCUGUCAAUAUUACCAAUACUCCCACAACAUCUGUAGUUUCCUGCUUCUAAUGGCUAAUAACAAUUUAAAAAAAAAAUUGGGUCUGGGAGAGGAAAAGGAAUAAAUAUGGGGAGAUGGGGAAUUGGCACACAUGAUGAACACAAACAAUGUAUAUCCAACCUAACCAUAAAACAUCAGUUAAUUCCGUGUAGUUGGCACUCCUGAAUUUGCUAAU